Molecule: non-coding RNA, 175 nt
Organism: Arachis ipaensis
Lineage: Eukaryota; Viridiplantae; Streptophyta; Magnoliopsida; Fabales; Fabaceae
Source: RefSeq, a predicted model, not a curated record
AUAUGCCAGUCACUUCAUACUUUGUGGUCAGCUUCGUUCCGCAUUACCAUUGCCAUGGUUCUUCUUUAUCAACAACUAGGUGUUGCUUCCCUUUUGGGCGCUUUGAUGCUAGUCCUUAUGUUUCCAUUACAGACAUUUAUCAUCAGUAGAAUGCAGAAGUUGUCUAAGGAAGGAU